RNAcentral lists this ribosomal RNA (253 nucleotides) under uncultured bacterium. RNAcentral's name for it is "partial 16S ribosomal RNA". It matches the Rfam family "Bacterial small subunit ribosomal RNA", at positions 524 to 776 of the family's 1533-position model. The record is from RNAcentral.
UACGUAGGGGGCAAGCGUUGUCCGGAUUUAUUGGGCGUAAAGAGCGUGUAGGCGGUUAGGUAGGUCCGUUGUGAAAACUCGAGGCUCAACCUCGAGACGCCGAUGGAAACCAUCUAACUAGAGUCCGGAAGAGGAGAGUGGAAUUCCUGGUGUAGCAGUGAAAUGCGCAGAUAUCAGGAGGAACACCGGUGGCGAAGGCGGGUCUCUGGGCCGAUACUGACGCUGAGGAGCGAAAGCGUGGGGAGCGAACAGG